RNAcentral lists this ribosomal RNA (503 nucleotides) under uncultured bacterium. RNAcentral's name for it is "partial 16S ribosomal RNA". It matches the Rfam family "Bacterial small subunit ribosomal RNA", at positions 30 to 523 of the family's 1533-position model. The record is from RNAcentral.
AUUGAACGCUGGCGGCGGGCUUAACACAUGCAAGUCGAGCGGGGUGAUGGUGCUUGCACUAUCACUUAGCGGCGGACGGGUGAGUAAUGCUUAGGAAUCUGCCCAUUAGUGGGGGACAACAGCUCGAAAGGGAUGCUAAUACCGCAUACGUCCUACGGGAGAAAGCAGGGGAUCACUUGUGACCUUGCCCUAAUCUAUGAGACUAAGUCGGAUUAGCUAGUUGGUGGGGAAAAGGCCUACCAAGGCGACGAUCUGUAGCGGGUCUGAGAGGAUGAUCCGCCACACUGGGACUGAGACACGGCCCAGACUCCUACGGGAGGCAGCAGUGGGGAAUAUUGGACAAUGGGGGGAACCCUGAUCCAGCCAUGCCGCGUGUGUGAAGAAGGCCUUAUGGUUGUAAAGCACUUUAAGCGAGGAGGAGGCUCUUUUGGUUAAUACCCAAGAUGAGUGGACGUUACUCGCAGAAUAAGCACCGGCUAACUCUGUGCCAGCCGCCGCCGUAA